Molecule: regulatory RNA element, 54 nt
Organism: Pseudolabrys sp. Root1462
Lineage: Bacteria; Pseudomonadati; Pseudomonadota; Alphaproteobacteria; Hyphomicrobiales; Xanthobacteraceae
Rfam family: terC RNA
Source: Rfam
UCGUCAGGCCGGGCCCCUCUGGCAGUCAUGCGACUGCGAUGUCGGACUGAAAUC